CUACGGCAAUGGAGUAACUCAAAACCGGAGACUCAGUCAGAUUUAUCAUCAAAGGUACAUUGUAUUCCCGCUCAAACAUUUCAAAUCACUGAAUCUGAUAGAUAAAUUACACAAAUGAAUCUUCGUUUUGUGAGAAAUUAUCGUUGCACCAUAUCACAACUUGAGAGUUUUGUGAGAGACGAGUGUAAAUCUGGUAAAAUUAAGAAGCUUGAUGAUGGUUUGAGAUACUUCGAUCAAUUGAUUUCAGAAAAGCCUUUGCCGUCUAAUCAUACAUUUAAUCAUGUAUUUGGUUCACUAUCCAAAAUCAAAUGCUAUUCAGAUGUCAUUUUGUUGUACAAGAAAAUGAAUUUGGUUGGGGUACAACCCAGUAUAUAUACAUUGAGCAUUUUGAUUAAUUGCUGUUGUCAAUUAGGCAAAGUUGAUCAUGGGUUUUGUUUGUUUGGGGAGGUGUUAAAGAGGGGUUAUCAUCCUGAUACUGCCACUUUUAAUACACUGAUUAAAGGGUUGUGUCUUCAACAAAAGAUUGAUUUUGCAUUCAAAGUGUUUGAUAAAAUGGCUGAGAUGGGUGUUCAACCUGAUGCUAUUACAUGUAAUACUCUUAUAUCCGGGCUUUCUAAAACUGGAAAAGUUGAUCAUGCUCUUGAGGUGAAAAACAAGAUGGUUGAAUGGAAAUGCAGCCCUACGGUUGUUACAUAUUGUGCGACUAUAGAAACACUUUGUAAAGGAGGAUUAGUUGAUGAAGCUUUGGUUCUAUUCUCUGAAAUGCUUAAAGAUCUGAAUGUUGCACCCGAUGUAGUUGUUUACACUUCUUUGAUUAACGGGCUUUUCGAUUCAGGACGGUUGGACGAGGCAAGGAGAAUCUUUGACGAGAUGGUUAGUAGAGGAAUCUCUGCGGAUGUAACAACUUAUAGCUGUAUGAUUCAUGGUCAUUGCAUACAUGGUCAAUGGGAAGAAGCAAGAAGAUAUUUUAAUGAAAUGUUGGAUCAAGGGAUUUUACCCACUACAAUAACCUUUACUAUAUUGAUAGAUUCACUUUGUAAAUAUGGUAACAUAGAUGAUGCUGUGGGGGUAUUUAGAUACAUGGAGAAGCUAAAUAUAAAACCUGAUCGGAUUACUUAUAAUUCAAUGAUCAACGGUCUAUGUUUGGCAGGUCGGUUGCAAGAUGCGGCGGAACUAUUUGACUCGAUGGUGGAUAGGGGCCUUGAACCGAAUGCUGUCAGUUGCACUACAUUAAUUGAUGGGUAUUGCAGGAAUUGUAAGCUGGAUGAAGCUAUGUUGUUAUUCAAUAAAAUGAAACAAAACGGGUUGAAACCUACAACACUUACUUACAGUAUACUCUUAGCUGGGCUAUACCGAGGUGGUAGAAUAAAGGUCGCAGAAGGUAUCUUCAAUGAGAUACAAUCAUUUGGUCAAUAUCCAAAUAAAAUUACAUUUGGUACAGUUUUAGAUAGAAUCUGCAAGAAUGGAAAAAUUGAGGAGGUAGUAGAAUUGUUUGGAUCGAUGGAUGCUUCCUUUAUCUCAGUUACAUCCCCUUGAUCCAGUUUUACGCCAGCCCUGGCCGAACUCCUUUACGUAAGUUUUGGUUUCAUGAUUGCAUCUGACAUGUGGAUUGUUGAGAGAGUAUCUAGUAGCUGCCACUGCUUUCCUAAGGGGUUACUCAAUGUUUCUGCCCAAAACCUGUCGAAGAAGAUACAAGAAGAAUGGACUGCUACACUAAGUCAUAACUUCUAAGUCAGCCGAGUAAGUUGAGUAUAAAGAAUGACAAAUCUGAUGCUUGGAAGCUGGACCUGCAUAGUUUGGCAUGUACCUGCACUUUAUCUGACAGAUUGGUGUUUGAUGCCCUACCUUGAAUGCACCGUUGUUUGUGGCUAUCAAAUAUUCUUUGGCACAAAGAAGAGUACAUCCAUGGAUAAACACCCAAUCAGUACCCAAUUGAGUGGAAAGUCUCGUUUACCAAGAUGUUUUCACUUUCUUCUUUCUAUGUUCAAGGUGGUCUAGCUGCUCUCACUAACGGCUGUGCUAAAGGCUGGAGGUGGAUUUCAGGGAUUUUUGAUUCGAGUCCAGCAUAUUUUUUACCUGAUCCUUAAGUCAGCUAGAGGAAGAAGUCGUAUGAUCAAGGAUUUAUGGCUAAUUGCUAAUCUAGCAAGCAGCGAACUAUUGAAACUGAGAAAUAAAGUGCAUUGCGACAAUGAAAAGGUCAGAUGGUUCCAAUUUAAGAUCAAAAUUUUCAGGAAUGUGCUCAAGGUUAACAUGGUUUUAUGCACAACACCUGUGAAGUCCUCAGGAUCACAGAGGGUUAAAAUGGUAGCGUCAGCUGAAUUUAGCUGGAGACCUCGAGACCCUAAUGAAGUCUUAUUAUGUUUCGUUGGGGCAUCAGUUGGCAAUCCUGGCAGAUUGCAGCGUCAUUGGGGCUCAGAAUAUUGGGCUUGGCAUCACACCAAGUUUUUCUGCAGAGACAUACGCAGUGAUUGCAUUGCUUGAAUGACCAAUGGGCAUGGCAAUGGAGUCACAAAAAGGCCUUGGUUGGACGAGAUAAGGCUAGUACAGUGAAGGCUUUUGAUGGUAAUUCGAUUCCUUGGAGAUUCAGGCAAAGAUGGUUAGCUGUGGGGAGUCAUUACGACUCUAUUCAUUAUGAGCAUGCUUUCAGGGAAAUGAACUUUGUGGCAGAUGUGGGAAGGUCUUAAACUUUAUGAGUUUUAGAAAGGCCGGAUAUGGAAUAUUACGUUUUUAAGUAAUUUAGUUCCAUGGCUUAUGUUUGAGAC
RNA transcript from Papaver somniferum (opium poppy), 2762 nucleotides. It is a transcript of the gene named pentatricopeptide repeat-containing protein At1g12775, mitochondrial-like, with no coding region annotated. The record is from RefSeq and is a predicted model, not a curated record. NCBI's taxonomy places the organism in Eukaryota, Viridiplantae, Streptophyta, Magnoliopsida, Ranunculales, Papaveraceae. The transcript is spliced from 3 exons.